Talpa occidentalis (Iberian mole) is the source of this 144-nucleotide small nuclear RNA. RefSeq annotates it as U4 spliceosomal RNA. The record is from RefSeq and is a predicted model, not a curated record. NCBI's taxonomy places the organism in Eukaryota, Metazoa, Chordata, Mammalia, Eulipotyphla, Talpidae. The transcript has a single exon.
AGCUUUGUGCAGUAGCACAAAGUAUAGUAGCCAGUGAAGUUUAUCCGGGGUGUGGUUAUUAUUAAUUGAAAACUUUUCCCAGUUCCCUACCUUUAUGACUUGAAUGUAGUUGGCAUUGGCAAUAUUUGAUAGUCUCUAUGAAGG